AGUGAACGCUGGCGGUAGGCCUAACACAUGCAAGUCGAACGGCAGCACAGUAAGAGCUUGCUCUUACGGGUGGCGAGUGGCGGACGGGUGAGGAAUACAUCGGAAUCUACUUUUUCGUGGGGGAUAACGUAGGGAAACUUACGCUAAUACCGCAUAUGACCUACGGGUGAAAGCAGGGGAUCUUCGGACCUUGCGCGAUUGAAUGAGCCGAUGUCGGAUUAGCUAGUUGGGGGGGUAAAGGCCCACCAAGGCAACGAUGCGUAGCUGAGCUGAGAGGAUGAUCAGCCACACUGGAACUGAGACACGGUCCAGACUCCUACGGGAGGCAGCAGUGGGGAAUAUUGGACAAUGGGCGCAAGCCUGAUGCAGCCAUACCGCGUGAGUGAAGAAGGCCUUCGGGUCGUAAAGCCCUUUUGUUGGGAAAGAAAAGCAGCAUGUUAAUACCCCGCCGUUCUGACGGUACCCAAAGAAUAAGCACCGGCUAACUUCGUG
RNAcentral lists this ribosomal RNA (492 nucleotides) under uncultured bacterium. RNAcentral's name for it is "partial 16S ribosomal RNA". It matches the Rfam family "Bacterial small subunit ribosomal RNA", at positions 29 to 507 of the family's 1533-position model. The record is from RNAcentral.